AACCGAGCCCUUGGGGAGACCCAGUAUCUUUCGUGCAAAAGAGUUUUGUAGAAUCUCCAGCCGUUGUAGUGUUUUUAAAUUCCACCCCCAGAUUUCAACCCCAUACAGUAACAUCGGGAGGACUUUGCUAAUAAAUGCUUUUCUGAUUGGUGGAACCAACUGGCCGCCUUUUGCAUAGAAGAAUUUCUCCAAGGCUUUGAUGGUUCUACGGGCAGCCAGGAUGGUCAUAUUUAGGUGAGCUGACCAGCUAAGCCCAUGCUGAAAAGUGAUUCCCAAAUACUUGAAAGCUGAGCAAUAUUCAAUAGAGUGGCCCUCAAAGUUCCAGAAUGACUUCCGAGUUUUCGUGCCAAAAGUAAGAAUUUUGGUUUUGGCGAAAUUGAUUUUGAGGGAAUUGGUAUCACAAUAUGUCAUGAGCCCUCUGAGCAUGUUGUUUAAGCCCUGCUUGGUUAAAGACAGUAUCACCAUGUCGUCCGCAUAGAGUAAUAUGGGGAUCUUGAGCUGUUGUAGAGAGGGGGCAGAUUGAUUUAGGGCCUGCAUAGUUGUAACGAUGUCGUUGAUAUAGAAAUUGAAUAGAAAAGGGGCCAAGAGGCAACCCUGUUUGACCCCUUUAUUCAGAGGGAAAGAAUCAGAAAGAGCUCCCAGGGGCCGAAUUUUACUCUGGCCGAUAUGUCAUUAUGAAUUUCCAUAAGAAGAAGGAGGAGUCUCUUAUCUAUGUUGGUGUAACUAAGCUUCUGCCAUAGCCUAUCUCUGGGAAUGGAGUCAAAAGCGGAGGUCAGGUCCACAAAAGCCGCGUGUAGUUUGCAGUUAAACCUGUUUAGGUAUUUAUCAAUCAGGGUAAAUAGAACAAGACAUUGGCCAGAUGUACUGUGACCUUUACGGAAGCCAGCCUGUUCCGAGUGGAAUAGCUUUGUUUCUUCUGCCCACUCGAUUAAUUUCUCUAGCAAGAAUCUAGAGUAAACCUUGUAUGAUAUGUCUAGCAGGCUGAUGGGUCGAUAGUUACGCGGAUCUUGUGGGUCCCCUUUUUAUGUAUUGGGAUGACUAUGCUCUGUUUCCAAUUUGGCGGGAUCUUAAGAGUGGCAUUAAUAGUGGUAAAGAGAGAUGCAAAAAUAGGGGCCCACCACAUCUGGUUCAAUAAGAAUACCUCGGGUGGAAUCAUAUCCUCCCCGGGAUUUAUCCCCUGAUAACAUGCUAAUUAGUUGUACACAUCUCUCUGGGGAGACUGGCUCCCAGGUGGGCAAGGCAGAUGCAGGAAGAGUGGAAACUGCGUUUACGUCGGAAUCUGGGGCGGAGUACAGCUGAGCAAAGUGAGAGUGCCAACUGGCUGCUGUAAUGUUAUUAACGAUGAAUGAGGGGGGUCUUAAACCUGCAUUAAUUAAAUUCCAGAAUUUCUUGUCAUCACGGGUUUUAAUGGCCACUGACAAUGCCGUCCAGCGUUCUUUCGCAAAGAUCAAUUUCUUAUGUUGGAGCAACUUCUUGUAGUAAGAACGGAAUUGGGCUAACUCCCUGAUUUUGCUCUGGGUGCUGUCUGAUUUCAUAUCAGACUGAAGAGAUCUAAGCCUACUUCUGCACUGUUUACAUUCUUGGUCGAACCAAGUUUGAUUCUUCCAGAUUAGACUCGCACGGGAGGGUUUCGUAAGUGAUGGGAGCAAGUAGGCUAGAAUUUGUUGGAAACUUGAGAAAUGAUUCACAUUCAUUGUUACCAGCUGAGCUUUCAGGGCUAGGAUCUCAGGGGAAUUUAGGAGGACUUUUAUGUCUUGCUCCAGAUAGAUAUCCCACUUCUUACGACCGGGGCUAAGGUCAGUGAAUCCUGGAGGAGGAGUGAGCUGGGGAGCCCCAGCUGUGUGUGGUGGAAGGAGAUGGCAAUAGGAAGGUGGUCACUUUCGGUUCUAUUGAACACAUUGAAACAAUAUGCCUUAUCAUUAAGUGCCGAGGAGGACCAGAUAUAAUCUAUAACGCUUGCCCCUCUAGAUCCUAGAAAAGUAUAGCAUCCCCCGGACCAGUCUUUGGGUGUACCAUGCAUGCUGUGCAGCCCGCAGUUAAUGGUAAACUCCAGCAGUAUGAUGCCAGCCCUAUUAAUGGUCUUGUCAUGUGAAUUCCACGUAGGAAACCACUCCUCUUCUAUGAAUAGUUGCGACUUAUCGGUGAAUGAGCUUAUAUCUGCUCCGAUUCUGGCAUUAAAGUCCCCCAUUAUGAGGAUCUCUGACUUUGGGAAUUCAGCCACAGAUUUAUCAAGGAUAAAUCUUAGAUCCUCCCAAAACCGAUUUGUAUGGGAAGAGGAGUAGGUAGAUGGAUUGUACAAGUUAACACAUAUGAAGUCCCCAACCGGGCUGUUAGUGAUGUGCAAAGUUUGAAUACAAUUACUCUCUAACCAAAGGAGAGGAGAGAUAUUAAGAUGAAGCUCCUGCGAAACAAAUGUUACCAGGCCUCCACUAGGGCGCCCAUGCAAAUGUGUUUUGGUCGCAGGAAUCACAAAAGCAUCAUAGCCCAGUAGGGAAGGGGGGGGUGACGAUUCUAAGCACCAGGUCUCUUGUAUACCCAUAAUCUGGAAUUUCGCUAAAAACUCUAUCAUAUCCCCGCCAUCCUGUUUGGACGUCCAUCCCGCCACGUUCCAGGAUAGCACAUUGAAGCAGUUUGGGGAGGGACUAUGUGCUAGUCAGAUACUCUGGUUGCUGGUGGAAGAAGCAUUGCCAAGGGUCUGAGACCGCGCCAGGCGUGAUACAGCCGAAGGUAUCGAAGGGGUGGUAAUUUGAUUGAUGUGGCCAGCAGGGUCUUCAAUAAAGCCUGAGCUGUCUCUUUGCACAGUGGCUUCCUUAGCGUUUAUAUAUUGGCUUGAAGAGGUUACGGAUACAAGAGGUUCUACCAAACGGGGUUGACUGACAAAGGACGAGGAUAUACAGUCUUCUGCCUGGACCGCACUGAAUGAGGACUCCAGGUCAGGCAUGGAAGAAUAGGACAUUGACAGAUUACCUGUAUGAAUGGUGAUUGGCAUAUUGCUCUUUAAGGCGAGGGACGAGGUAGUUGAUUGCAAAUCUAUUAGUAGAGGUGAAGAGGGUCUGCGUUGCGACGGUGUAUGAGGAGCUUCCGCCAGGCAGACUGCCAUAUCAUCCGUUAUUGGAGUCCCAGUGAUUGGCAGGGGUUUCUGGGGUGUUAGUCCCUUCAUGUCUGCGUUCCUUUGAUUUAAUAGGUUGCUAUGACCAGGUUUUGAGGAGAUUUUCUCUUGAAGUACAUGUGUAAGUUGCUGCUUGAGUGUAUCAAGCCUGUUUAUAACUUCCUGCUGUUCUACUAAUGGCAACUCGCCAUAGGAUGAAAUAAGGUCCCUCUCCUCUGAGGAAGCCAGAUGACUGGGUCCGCUUUGGUCAUGCUUCUCUGUUGCUGGGGUAGAUAAACCAGGAAGCUUGGGCUGAGAGGGAGGGUGAGGUUCCUGGGUAGACAGCUUGAGUUUCGAGACUAUAUCGCGCCUGUCUGGCGAGCGGAUACCUUUUUGUACGAUGCUACGGAAAAGAGGUUUAGUCCUGGUGUCAUUAAAGACUCUCGUUGGGAAGAUGCCCCAGGUGGCCAAUAACGCUUUGCGCCUAACCAGUAUGGAGGGAAUUUUUGGUGACUGGAAGGAGAGCAGUACUUUUGGAACCGAUGGUGGUAGUAUAAAAGUUUCACUGUACUGAGAUCUAUUAGCGGAGGCCUAAUCUGUAGGAGUUGCCUUAGAUGAUCUUUGACCUCUCUCGGGUUAAUCCACCUUGGGGACCUGGGGUCACUGCUGCGUAUAGUUAGACAUAUUUUGUUUGGUUGUAAGAUCAGAGAUUGAGAGUCCAGUUGAGAUUUUAGGAGAUGAACACCAGUACCACUUUCAUGUCUAACAGGGGAGGUACACCACUGUCUCUUUAAAUCCCUCGGAGGCAGAGUGAGGUUGUGCUGCGGCUCCAGCAAAUGGGCCUCAAGCUUUUGGUGGAGAUUAUUCACCUGCAUGGAGAUCCCAUUUAUGCUCUUAAAGAUGCAGCGCAGGGUCCUGGUUAUUAAUUGGAAAUGCUCGAAUCCCAAACCAUCGCCCAGGGCCAGCUCGGACUCCCCUUCGAGGUGACUCUCACUUCUUUGUCAUUAUCAUUAGCAUUUUCGUUGCCUUCGAGUUCACCCCUCCACUUCUAUAUCGGGUACGAGGUCAAUUAAAGGAUUAAAACGAUUGUGAGUUUCAACCGUGUAGCUAUCUUCCUUGUUAUUUCUGCUCCAGUUAAGAAGGAAAGAAUCAAUCUUAGACUGUUUGGGCCUCGGGGGAGGCAUUGCCUCAUCCAGGUCCCUUGGCCGCUUGCCAUGGCCCAUAGUGGAGAUUAGGAGAAAUAUCCGCAAUAAUUGGAAUUGUCUUAAAGCACCUUAGAGAGUAUUGCGGAAGGCAGGGGAGUGGUGAGCG
This 4399-nucleotide long non-coding RNA is filed under the name Podarcis lilfordi (Lilford's wall lizard). The record is from RNAcentral. Lineage: Eukaryota; Metazoa; Chordata; Lepidosauria; Squamata; Lacertidae.